CCAAUGUCGAUGAAGGAGAAAAGUAGGUCAGAGCCCAGUUUCACAGGGAGGAAACGCCACCGAUUGAGAGCGUUUUCAAAUAUGGCUGAUUGAAGUUCCCUCCGGAGAUGCCGACUGAAAGCAGUAGUAGGUUAGGCCGUCAUUCCCACGUUACCGGGAAGGGGGUAUCGGACACAGUUCCCGUACUCUUUGCCGAGGUGAGCCCGUUUUCGGGCUAACGAGGGUGGUAACGCGGUAAGCUUAAAGCUUUUCGUCCCUAGA
Molecule: non-coding RNA, 261 nt
Filed under: Desulforamulus ruminis
Lineage: Bacteria; Bacillati; Bacillota; Clostridia; Eubacteriales; Peptococcaceae
Description: Desulfotomaculum ruminis T-box sequence
Rfam family: T-box leader
About the family: Uncharged tRNA acts as the effector for transcription antitermination of genes in the T-box leader family. T-boxes are found upstream of many aminoacyl-tRNA synthetase genes and some amino acid biosynthetic genes usually in Gram-positive bacteria.
Source: RNAcentral